ACUAGUGAUUUCCGUAGGUGAACCUGCGGAAGGAUCAUUAUCGUGAAUCCAUACCAACCCUUGCGAAAUGUGGAUGUUUGGCACCAUGGUGUAGAGCAAUCUCACCGCGGUGUCAGUGGAGCUUUGCUCCGCAUCAACAACCAAACUCUUUUGUUUGUGCACGAUUGUGUGAGGACGCAUUGGUGUGUGUCGGUGUGAUAUUCGUAUCAUCACUGACUCUUAAUCGAUGCGAAAUCGAAACGAUCUAAAACUCUUAACAGUGGAUAUCUUGGCUCUCGCAACGAUGAAGAACGCAGCGAAAUGCGAUACGUAAUGUGAAUUGCAGAAUUCAGCGAAUCAUCGAAACUUUGAACGCAUAUUGCACUCGUGUGCUUCGGCACCGAGUAUGCCUCUUUCAGUGUCAUCGACUUAAAUCUCACGGCCUCUUUGGGGGAACCGUGGUCGAUGGGCGUCACGAGUUUGUAUGGUCUACCACGCAAAUGACUCGGGUCGCCUGAAGCUUGGAGGCUGCGCUGUCUACGACACGAAGCGAUGUAGUAAGUAGGCCUGUCAUCUUCGGAUGCGGUCGCACUCUCGUCGGUUUGUUGUUUGUGGCGUCUGGAGUCUUUUGACUCUGGGGCGUGUGCCGGUCAACUUUCAUUUAAAGCUCGACCUGAAAUGAGGUAAGGCUACCCGCCGAACUUAAGCAUAUCA
Molecule: ribosomal RNA, 693 nt
Filed under: uncultured eukaryote
Lineage: Eukaryota
Description: eukaryotic LSU rRNA
Rfam family: 5.8S ribosomal RNA (bases 249-403)
Source: RNAcentral